RNAcentral lists this ribosomal RNA (467 nucleotides) under uncultured bacterium. Its description in RNAcentral is "bacterial SSU rRNA". It matches the Rfam family "Bacterial small subunit ribosomal RNA", at positions 329 to 794 of the family's 1533-position model. The record is from RNAcentral.
AACCAGACUCCUACGGGAGGCAGCAGUGAGGAAUAUUGGUCAAUGGCCGGAAGGCUGAACCAGCCAAGUCGCGUGAGGGACGACUGCCCUAUGGGUUGUAAACCUCUUUUAUAAGGGAAGAAUAAAUGCUACGUGUAGCAUGAUGCCUGUACCUUAUGAAUAAGCAUCGGCUAACUCCGUGCCAGCAGCCGCGGUAAUACGGAGGAUGCGAGCGUUAUCCGGAUUUAUUGGGUUUAAAGGGUGCGCAGGCGGCGAGUUAAGUCAGCGGUAAAUUUGCGGGGCUCAACCCCGACAAGCCGUUGAAACUGGCUUGCUAGAGUGGGCGAGAAGUAUGCGGAAUGCGUGGUGUAGCGGUGAAAUGCAUAGAUAUCGCGCAGAACUCCGAUUGUGAAGGCAGCGUACCGGCGCCACACUGACGCUGAGGCACGAAAGCGUGGGGAUCGAACAGGAUUAGAUACCCGCGUAAU